AUAUUGGGCAAUGGGCGCAAGCCUGACCCAGCCAUGCCGCGUGCAGGAUGACAGCCCUACGGGUUGUAAACUGCUUUUAUACGGGAAAAAACCCUCUGACGUGUCAGAGGCUGAUGGUACCGUAAGAAUAAGCAUCGGCUAACUCCGUGCCAGCAGCCGCGGUAAUACGGAGGAUGCAAGCGUUAUCCGGAUUUACUGGGUUUAAAGGGUGCGCAGGCGGAACGACAAGUCAGUGGUGAAAUCUCCUGGCUCAACCAGGAAACUGCCAUUGAUACUAUCGUUCUUGAGUCCAGUUGAAGUAGGCGGAAUGUAGCAUGUAGCGGUGAAAUGCUUAGAUAUGCUACAGAACACCGAUAGCGAAGGCAGCUUACUAAACUGAAACUGACGCUCAUGCACGAAAGCGUGGGGAUCAAACAGGAUUAGAUACCCUGGUAGUCCACGCCCUAAACGAAGAUCAACUCGUUGUUGGCAACUAUAUCGUCAGCGACUAAGCGAAAGCAUUAAGUGAUCCACCUGGGGAGUACGAUCGCAAGGUUGAAACUCAAAGGAAUUGACGGGGGCCCGCACAAGCGGAGGAGCAUGUGGUUUAAUUCGAUGAUACGCGAGGAACCUUACCUGGGCUAGAACGCAGAACGACGUUUCGGGAAACCGGAAUUCUCUUCGGAGCGAUCUGCGAGGUGCUGCAUGGUUGUCGUCAGCUCGUGCCGUGAGGUGUCGGGUUAAGUCCCAUAACGAGCGCAACCCUUGUGAUAUGUUACCAGUAUCAAGUUAGGGACUCAUAUCAGACUGCCGGUGACAAACCGGAGGAAGGUGGGGAUGACGUCAAAUCAUCAUGCCCCUUAUGGCCUGGGCCACACACGUACUACAAUGGCGGAUACAGAGGGAAGCGCGCCCGCGAGGGCAAGCCAAUCCCCAAAACCGGCCCCAGUUCGGAUCGCAGUCUGCAACUCGACUGCGUGAAGCCGGAAUCGCUAGUAAAGGGGCAUCAGCAACGGCCCCUUGAAUACGUUCCCGGGCCUUGCACACACCGCCCGUCAAG
Molecule: ribosomal RNA, 1039 nt
Filed under: uncultured bacterium
Lineage: Bacteria
Description: bacterial SSU rRNA
Rfam family: Bacterial small subunit ribosomal RNA
Source: RNAcentral